GUUGUACUCCCUCCGUCCCAAAAUUCUUGUCUUAGAUUUGUCUACAUACGGAUGUAUCUAUUCACAUUUUAGUAUUAGAUACAUCCGUAUCUGUUAGAACUAAUCUUGUUAUUAGUGCGUACGAUUAGAUAUGUUGAUAAAUUGAAGACAGGAAUUUUGGGACGGAGGGAGUAUAUU
Non-coding RNA from Triticum urartu, 177 nucleotides. The record is from Rfam. Lineage: Eukaryota; Viridiplantae; Streptophyta; Magnoliopsida; Poales; Poaceae.